Bombus pascuorum is the source of this 884-nucleotide long non-coding RNA. RefSeq lists it as uncharacterized. The record is from RefSeq and is a predicted model, not a curated record. The transcript has 2 exons. Lineage: Eukaryota; Metazoa; Arthropoda; Insecta; Hymenoptera; Apidae.
AAUAUGCGUGAGCCCCUUUUGUCAGGAGAUUGGUCGAUGAUCGGCAAACCGAUCGUAGGAAUGUGGCGAGUAACCAAUGUCAUCGUGACUAAUAUUUUUCGUUGAUCAAAGGGCUAAAGCUCAAAUGUAACACGACACAGGACGAUGACUGAUAUUACAAUCGUUUAGUUUGAAAUAUUAAGGAAAAAUGGAAUUCUUUUUUAUGAAAUUCUGCACGUAUAUACAUGUAUAUAUGUGAUUUUGAUGAAUGCAUUUUGCAAUUAAUGCAUCAUCUUGCAUACUUUUAAGUAAUUCUUCAUUAAAAAUUAACGAAUAAGAGGAUUUUUUAAAGAGGAACUUUUAAAAAGGAUUCUAAAUACUUAGAAAAGCGUAAUAAUUUUAUUAAGUUGGAAAAGUUCGUGACAGGUAAUUAUAUUGAAAAUUCCGGUGGAAGAUUAAAUAAAAGCAUUUGACCUUUACAAAAACUGAAUCGAUAAUAAGUAACACGAAUUCUACUAUUCUAUAUAUACGUAUGUAGAAGAAAGUGUGCAAGUGUGACAUGUCUAACAGAAACAAGUCGUGAAUUACGUAAUUAUUAUUUAUUCUGUUGUAGACUUUACUUCAUCUCGCGAAGGAAUUAUGUUUCGCUAAGUGGUUGUUUUCUCCAAUUACCAGUUGUUCGUGUUAUGGAUAAGCAAUGCGAGGAGGGUAAACCUCAGCGACAGUAAUGAAAUUAUCGUUAAUAUUGUUUCAAGCUAACGCUCAUUUCGAUUAAACAGCAUGCUUCACUUCCGAUAGACAGCGAAGCGGCUUUGUAUUUGCUAGUUGGGACAAGGAACAGUCAAAUUUUGCUUGUAUCAUGUCAAAAAAUUUGUUAAUACAAAAAAGAAUAUCAAACCUUCCAU